GAGUUUGAUCAUGGCUCAGGAUGAACGCUAGCGGCAGGCCUAAUACAUGCAAGUCGAACGCUCAGUAGCAAUACUGGGAGUGGCGCACGGGUGCGUAACGCGUACACAAUCUACCUCUAAGCGGGGGACACCUCCUGGAAACGGGGAUUAAUACCGCAUAAUAUGCCGAGGUCGCAUGACUUUGGUAUUAAAGCAGCAAUACACUUAGAGAUGAGUGUGCGUCCCAUUAGGUAGUUGGUGAGGUAACGGCUCACCAAGCCUAUGAUGGGUAGCCGGUCUGAGAGGAUGGUCGGCCACACGGGCACUGAGACACGGGCCCGACUCCUACGGGAGGCAGCAGUAAGGAAUAUUGGUCAAUGGUGGAAACACUGAACCAGCCAUGCCGCGUGGAGGAAUAAGGUCCUACGGAUUGUAAACUCCUUUUGACGAGGAAGAAAGUGUUAGAUUUAUCUAAUUUUGACGGUACUCGUAGAAUAAGCACCGGCUAACUCCGUG
This 495-nucleotide ribosomal RNA is filed under the name uncultured bacterium. Its description in RNAcentral is "bacterial SSU rRNA". It matches the Rfam family "Bacterial small subunit ribosomal RNA", at positions 9 to 507 of the family's 1533-position model. The record is from RNAcentral.